RNAcentral lists this ribosomal RNA (264 nucleotides) under uncultured bacterium. RNAcentral describes it as "partial 16S ribosomal RNA". The record is from RNAcentral.
CUGCUGCCUCCCGUAGGAGUCUGGGCCGUGUCUCAGUCCCAGUGUGGGGGGCCUUCCUCUCAGAACCCCUACGCAUCGUCGCCACGGUGGGCCGUCACCCCGCCGUCUAGCUAAUGCGCCGCAUGCCCAUCCGCCACCGGAUCGCUCCUUUGGCCACCGGAGGAUGCCCUCCGGUGGCGUCACGGGGUAUUAGGCCGCGUUUCCGCGGGUUAUCCCCCUGUGGCGGCCAGGUUGCAUACGUGUUGCUCACCCGUGCGCCGGUCG